UGUUUAUUGCUUUCAGGAGUUGCAGUCUUCAAUCUUUGUCUCCACCGUCUGAUUUUCUUGAACAGAAAUUGAGCCAAAAUACUCAUGAUGAAUAUCAAUUGUAUCAGUGCAAAAGUGCCCAUCCAGAAGCAAGGACCAGGAAAGCAAAAUAGGAAAAGGAAGGUGGAUGAAGGAGAACGGUAUGCAGUGUAAUUGGGCCUUCAGAUGAGAGAAGAACCAGACGUAUGCAUGAACCUAUCGCCGUCCGCAAUCUGCAUGCAGAUGCAGAGGAUUAAUCGCGGACGAGGCCUUACCUGAGGAAUCAUCGACCAAGCCCCCAUGGAUAAACAUCUCGGGGAUCCUCUCGAGGACCGGGAAGCGGAGGCUCCCUCUCUCCAUCGCGCUCCAAUGAGCGAGAGAAAGAGAGGGAGAGAUUGAAGAGAGGAGAAUGGAGGGAGGGAGGCGGUGGUGGUGAACUGGUGACGGUGAUAUAGUAGAGGUGGAGACUGGAGACGCCUGACGGAGACGGUGACACCCCUGAUGGUUGCGCUUUUGGCGUAUCAUGGUGCCCGCAGAUCCCGAUCAUGCAGUUUUCACCGGGCGCGCCCGGCACCGCCCGUGGAAAAAAACGCCGCUGCCUGUGUCCCAUCAGUUGGCCUGGUGCUCGGCAGUACUAGUAUUUUACUUCUGCUAAAAAAUUCCUUGAUAACGAUCUUCUAAUAAUUUGUUUUCGAAUGUGCAGACAAACUCUCAGUUGGAUUGCACAUUUGUGCAUAAUCAAUUAGUUCAGCAAAUCAACACAA
Molecule: long non-coding RNA, 782 nt
Organism: Panicum virgatum (switchgrass)
Lineage: Eukaryota; Viridiplantae; Streptophyta; Magnoliopsida; Poales; Poaceae
Exons: 2
Source: RefSeq, a predicted model, not a curated record